Molecule: ribosomal RNA, 253 nt
Filed under: uncultured bacterium
Lineage: Bacteria
Description: partial 16S ribosomal RNA
Rfam family: Bacterial small subunit ribosomal RNA
Source: RNAcentral
UACGGAGGGGGCUAGCGUUGUUCGGAAUUACUGGGCGUAAAGCGCACGUAGGCGGCUUUGUAAGUUAGAGGUGAAAGCCUGGUGCUCAACACCAGAACUGCCUUUAAGACUGCAUCGCUUGAAUCAUGGAGAGGCGGGUGGAAUUCCGAGUGUAGAGGUGAAAUUCGUAGAUAUUCGGAAGAACACCAGUGGCGAAGGCGGCCCGCUGGACAUGUAUUGACGCUGAGGUGCGAAAGCGUGGGGAGCAAACAGA